UACGGGGGGGGCAAGCGUUGUUCGGAAUUACUGGGCGUAAAGGGCUCGUAGGUGGCCAACUAAGUCAGACGUGAAAUCCCUCGGCUUAACCGGGGAACUGCGUCUGAUACUGGAUGGCUUGAGUUUGGGAGAGGGACGCGGAAUUCCAGGUGUAGCGGUGAAAUGCGUAGAUAUCUGGAGGAACACCGGUGGCGAAGGCGGCGUCCUGGACCGGCAUUGACGCUGAGGCGCGAAAGCCAGGGGAGCAAACGGG
Molecule: ribosomal RNA, 253 nt
Filed under: uncultured bacterium
Lineage: Bacteria
Description: partial 16S ribosomal RNA
Rfam family: Bacterial small subunit ribosomal RNA
Source: RNAcentral